Pezoporus flaviventris is the source of this 1846-nucleotide RNA transcript. It is a transcript of the gene named adrenoceptor beta 3, with no coding region annotated. The transcript is spliced from 3 exons. Lineage: Eukaryota; Metazoa; Chordata; Aves; Psittaciformes; Psittacidae. The record is from RefSeq and is a predicted model, not a curated record.
CCUUAGGGCAGCCCGGCCCCGCCGGUCCGCCCCGAGGGCUGCUCCGGGCUGCGGCGGCCGCGGGGUGCGCACGUCGGGGCGCAGCGGGCGAGCCCCCCCCUCCGCCAGCCCCGGUCCGGAGGAGAUGAGCCCCGUGCCCGCGGGUAACGGCAGCGCCUGGGGGGCAGCGGCGGCGCUGGGCAGCGGCGGUAACUGCAGCGGGGCCGCCAGCCUGAGCCGGCAGUGGGUGCUGGGGGCUGCCCUGAGCAUCACGGUGCUCGUCACGGUGGCCGGUAACUUGCUGGUGAUCGUGGCCAUCGCCAAGACGCCGCGGCUGCAGACCAUGACCAACGUGUUCGUCACCUCGCUGGCUUGCGCCGACCUCAUCAUGGGCUCGCUGGUGGUGCCGCCGGGGGCCACCAUCCUGCUGAGCGGGCACUGGCCCUACGGCACGGUGGUGUGCGAGCUGUGGACCUCGCUGGAUGUGCUGUGCGUGACGGCCAGCAUCGAGACGCUGUGCGCCAUCGCCGUGGAUCGCUACCUGGCCAUCAUGUCGCCGCUGCAGUACGAGGCGCUGGUGACCAAGGGCAGGGCACGGGCUGUGGUGUGCCUGGUGUGGGGCAUCUCUGCCUUCAUCUCCUUCCUGCCCAUCAUGAACCACUGGUGGCGGGACGGGGCGGACGAGCAGGCGGUGCGCUGCUACGACGACCCGCGCUGCUGUGACUUUGUCACCAACAUGACCUACGCCAUCAUCUCCUCCACCAUCUCCUUCUACGUGCCCCUGCUCGUCAUGAUCUUUGUCUACGUCCGCGUCUUUGCCGUGGCUACGCGCCACAUCCACCUCAUCGGCAAGGACAAGGUGAGGUUCCUGCAGGCCCCCCCCAGCCCUGGCUCUAGGAGAAGCCGGCUCAGGCGUCCCUCCCGUCUGCUGGCCAUCAAGGAGCACAAGGCGCUCAAGACCCUGGGCAUCAUCAUGGGCACCUUCACGCUGUGCUGGCUGCCCUUCUUCGUGGCCAACAUCAUCAAGGUCUUCUGCCGGGGGCUGGUGCCGGAUCAGCUCUUCCUCUUCCUCAACUGGCUGGGCUACAUCAACUCAGCCUUCAACCCCAUCAUCUACUGCCGCAGCCCCGACUUCAGGAGCGCCUUCCGCAAGCUGCUCUGCUGCCCGCGCCGCGCCGACCGCCGGCUCCACGCCGUGUCCCGGGACCUACAGCGCUGCCCCUGUGCCUUCAGCCCCACGGGAGCGGCUCCCUUGGGAGACAGCAAAGUGGGAGCCCCCGGGGAGGAUGGGAGCCGGGUGGAGGAGACCAGCCUGUCCCAGGGUACCCAGACAGCGCUGGGUGCACAGCUUGAUGAGUAGGUUUGCCGGCAGAGAGACACCAGCAGGUCCCUCCGUCUGACCGGGAGCAGCUGAGAGCCGGGAACAGCGUGAGUGCAGGCCGGGUGCUUCAGAGGGACUGGAGGAGCAGCGCUGGGGGUGACGGCGCUGGAAGGAGCCUCCAGUGCGCUGGGAGCAGAGGGAUGCUCCCUCGGGAGCGCUCGCGGUCACAGCAGGGACCAGGGAGCCGGCUCCUCAGUGCUGUUGGUGCUGGAGAACUGGAGCCGGUUGGGAAAAGGCACCUGAGCUGCUCUCCAAGAGGCAGCGCAGCCUUGGGGACGUGCCUGUGCUCGCUGUGUGGACGGGGACCAGCUCCCAGCCGGGGUGUUUCCUGGCUGGAAGCAGGACGUCGUGGGUCUGCUCUCUGGAAGGAUGAAGAAUUCCCAUCGUCCGGGGCCCAGGAAGCCCAUCAGGAAGGGGACAAGAGCCUCCUGCAGGAGAGCAAGAGGAGCUCCGAGCAAGGGGAACCGGGCAAACCCUGUGGAUUAU